This is a long non-coding RNA of Onychostoma macrolepis, 1776 nucleotides long. RefSeq lists it as uncharacterized. NCBI's taxonomy places the organism in Eukaryota, Metazoa, Chordata, Actinopteri, Cypriniformes, Cyprinidae. The record is from RefSeq and is a predicted model, not a curated record. The transcript is spliced from 8 exons.
AACAGGGUAUAUAUUGCUACUGGCCAAGAAAAAAUUUACUGCCAAAGCAAAAAAAGAGAGACUCCAGAUACUACCUUCUGGUCAAAACACGUUGCAGUGGUUCUGGUAUAUGCAGCUGCCAUGUUCUUUCCAGAUAGCUAUGAGGAAGCCAGACUGAAGGCCAACCAAGCUACAGUGUCAUCAAACCUAGAAAGCGAGGAAGAACCUCCACGGAGACCAGUACGACCUCCAGCUAGAUAUAAGAGACAGCUGGAUAGUGUCACCCCAAGAACAGAGUAUUUUGAAGAACGAAGACAGUUAAAUACUCCAAGCUGUGGCAACACUCAACAAAGUUUUAUAAGUGCCCAAGAACCAGAAACCACAGAACCUGACAGGGAAACACAACAUGAAGCUGAUGUUGCUGAUGUUGUUCCUGCAUCAGCCAGGGAAACCAGUUUGUGUGAGUACAAGUUAUAGAAAUGUUGACUUUCAUUCAGAGGUUUGUGUCCACUAAGAUUUGUUGAUGUUUUUGAAAGAAGUCUCUCUCUUCUGCUAACCAAGGUUGCAUUUUUUGAUCAAAAUUUCAGUAAAACAGUAAUUUUGUGAAACAUUACAACUUAAAUUUAAAAAACCUAAGAACUCUUUUUUUUAAUAUACUUCAAAAUGUAAUUUAUUCUUGUGAUCAAACCUUCAGCAUUAUUAUUCCAGUAUUCAGUGUUAUAUGAUCCUUCAGAAAUGGUUCUGAUAUUCUCAUAAUGUAAUAAUGUAGUUGUUUGUUAUAUAUUGUUAUAUUACAUUUUACAAUGUAUAAAAGAAUAGUCAUAUUGUACAGUUUUAUACAAUGUGUAAAAAAAGUUCCCGCCGUUGUUUUUUUCAUUCUGUAUUGUCUAUAACAGGAACUUAAAUAUAAUCUUUUCAUAUUAAUAUAUGAAAUAUAAUUUUUAAAGUGGCAGUCCAGUGACAUUCAUUAAUUUUCAUGAGAAUCAACAUGCUUGCCCAUAAAGCAACAUAAAUAAGAUAAGUAAUAAUAUAACUACCUAAACUAUCUCCCAAAGUUUUCAGAAAAUUUAAAUUUGAAAAUUUUCCAACAAUUGAAAGAAAUUAUUAAAUAAUAAAAAAAUAUAUAAAGUACAUCAAUAAAUGUAGAUACAUUUCUGACAGGUACAGUAAUUUUGCCUGCUACUCUUUGCAUGUUAACAUGUCAACUGCACAUUUCAGACAACACUGUUGAAGAAACUUGAACGAGCCUUGUUCAUUCGUCUUGACAAAAUGGACCAAAAGCUGUCAACGGUAGAAACACUUAAGAAGUGUUGCCCAGCCGAGCGACAUUUCUGAGUUUCUGCUUGAUCCUUGUAAGAGAACACAGGAGCUGGAGGAGUUGUUUGAGGAUGAAAGACAGUGAAUGCAGGAAAAAAACUAAGCUUGUCAAAAAAUGCACCCGAAGGUACAAGUCAAGGUGUUUGAAGAAUACGUCGCAGAAACCCUGAAGUACGCUCCUCAUCGUGAUUCAAGAACGGUGCAUGAAGAGACUGGACCUGCUAUUCUCACUGAUCAAGAGCUAAUAGAAUGAAAGCUUAAAUGUUUGAGAAUAUUUGUUGUUGUUGUUCCAGGUUAACAUAUUGUUACUAUAAAUUUAUGAUUAAUUUAUAACUUUUUUUAAUCAGUUUUUCAUUUAAAUGUGCAAUUCAUAUUUUGUAAUUCACAUUGUUACAUUACUGGAAUAGUUGUACCUUGUGUUAAUAAAAAUAAAGUUGAGAGAAUGGUUCAGGCACAUUAUUCUAAUCUUAAAUUAACGUU